This 72-nucleotide transfer RNA is filed under the name Geobacillus kaustophilus HTA426. It matches the Rfam family "tRNA". From Rfam's summary of the family: Transfer RNA (tRNA) molecules are approximately 80 nucleotides in length. Their secondary structure includes four short double-helical elements and three loops (D, anti-codon, and T loops). The record is from Rfam by way of RNAcentral. Lineage: Bacteria; Bacillati; Bacillota; Bacilli; Caryophanales; Anoxybacillaceae.
GGGGCCUUAGCUCAACUGGGAGAGCGCCUGCUUUGCAAGCAGAGGUCAUCGGUUCGAUCCCGAUAGGCUCCA